Molecule: long non-coding RNA, 499 nt
Filed under: Heterocephalus glaber (naked mole-rat)
Lineage: Eukaryota; Metazoa; Chordata; Mammalia; Rodentia; Bathyergidae
Description: lncRNA (ENSHGLG00000047459.1)
Source: RNAcentral
GCCUGGGGAGAGGGGACAGAAAGGCCAGGCUCCGGCUGAAGCCUUAUCUGAGGGAGGACGCUGGGACUUUGGAUUCAGAGAUGGAGUUGAGAACCCAGAAAGCCUGCAGUUUGUCAGCAACCCCUUAAAUUACAACCCUAAGCCUGAUCUGUCCUGCUGCCUGCUUUGAUGAAGAAGAAGAAGAGGAGGAAGAGGAGGAGGACAAGGAGUAGGAGGAGGACAAGGAGGAGGAGGAGAAGAAGGAAGAAGAAGGAGAAGAAAUAGAAGAAGAAAUAGAAGAAGAAGAAGAAGAAGAAGAAGAAGAAGAAGAAGAAGAAGAAGAAGAAGAAGAAGAAGAAGAAGAAAAGGCUAUUCCUACGGGGUUGGUGUGGCUAGCUUGAACUUGUAAUUGAAUACACACCAAGUCAGGGCGAGAUUAAAUGAGGAAAUGGAUUUUCUUCUGCAUGAAGGGACCGGGUCAUGUUCUAAAAAUCUGGCUCUUUCAACAUCUUCACAUAAU